Molecule: long non-coding RNA, 910 nt
Filed under: Calidris pygmaea (Spoon-billed sandpiper)
Lineage: Eukaryota; Metazoa; Chordata; Aves; Charadriiformes; Scolopacidae
Description: lncRNA (ENSCPGG00000004898.1)
Source: RNAcentral
AUUUCUAGUAAAAGCAGGAGUCCAACAUUCUGCCUAAUUGGCUUUUCUGUUUAAUUUACAGUACAUUAAGGAAAGGCUGGUCUGAAGCUCAGUAGUACCAUUGGUUUCCUCAUGGUUGCUUCAUUUUGAGCACGUCUCAGUACAAGGCAGUGCAUCUACACACUGAUUUAGCAAACUGCAUAUGAAAGGAGGGAUGUAAACAGACUUUGACUGUGCCUAUAUGGAGAUCUUGGACCCUGUUAUGCCUUGUAUUGAUCUGGAGGUCAACCAGAACAUGCUUAUUCUGGAGCAGAACAAUAAGAUGGAGAUAACAGAACAGGUACCUGAUCCCUUGGCUGAGUAUAAACUGAUGUUCUUGAUGAUCUGGGAAAAAAGAAAAGGCCCGCUGAAGUUCUUGGCUUCUAUGAUGUCUUGUGGCAUUCAACUCUUUAAACUAAAUCUGUAUAAUGAAAGCAAAUUUUCCUUUUCAAGAGGCUGGAAAUGCAUUACUUCACUAAAAAGUACCUUUUUUGUGUGUGAUAUGGAGCAUACAAACUGAUCCGUUGGAACGCAAAAUUAUAACGUACAGAUUUAUGCAAGAGGGAUGACUGCAAAGUGCGUUGCAUGAGUAGUGUAAGAAGCUGAAAAUUGCUGCUGUUGUAGCUGUCAUAGACAUGUUAUUUUCUUUGGUAUGUGUGGAGUUUUUGCUGUCAGGCUUUUAUCCUGCAGAUUGUUUGUGCUGCACCUCUCUUCCUGCUUAAAAUAGAAAAUCAGUCACUGAACCUGGAUACUAUUAAGUGUUCUUAGAAUAGUUCUUAACUAACUUGGUUGAUUUGUGCUUUCUGAUGAAAGAACAUUUGGUUGUUUAUUGCAGGCUCUGAACAAACAUGUUCUUCCAAAAUCAACAAAUAAAAUUACAUAUUGCAUUGCA